Non-coding RNA from Schistosoma rodhaini, 45 nucleotides. Lineage: Eukaryota; Metazoa; Platyhelminthes; Trematoda; Strigeidida; Schistosomatidae. The record is from Rfam.
AUCUGGCUGACGAGUCCCAAAUAGGACGAAACGCGCAUCCUGGAU